RNAcentral lists this ribosomal RNA (497 nucleotides) under uncultured bacterium. RNAcentral's name for it is "partial 16S ribosomal RNA". It matches the Rfam family "Bacterial small subunit ribosomal RNA", at positions 28 to 507 of the family's 1533-position model. The record is from RNAcentral.
GACGAACGCUGGCGGCGUGCCUAAUACAUGCAAGUAGAACGCUGAAGAGAGGAGCUUGCUCUUCUUGGAUGAGUUGCGAACGGGUGAGUAACGCGUAUGGAACCUGCCUUGUAGCGGGGGAUAACUAUUUGAAACGAUAGCUAAUACCGCAUAACAAUGGAUGACAUAUGUCAUUUAUUUGAAAGGGGCAAUUGCUCCACUACAAGAUGGACCUGCGUUGUAUUAGCUAGUAGGUGAGGUAAUGGCUCACCUAGGCGACGAUACAUAGCCGACCUGAGAGGGUGAUCGGCCACACUGGGACUGAGACACGGCCCAGACUCCUACGGGAGGCAGCAGUAGGGAAUCUUAGGAAAUGGGGGAAACACUGACCGAGUAACGCCGCGUGAGUGAAGAAGGUUUUCGGAUCGUAAAGCUCUGUUGUAAGUCAAGAACGGGUGUGAGAGUGGAAAGUUCACACUGUGACGGUAGCUUACCAGAAAGGGACGGCUAACUACGUG